GGGGUCGUGGCCUAGUCCGGGAAGGCGGCUGACUCCAGAGGCCACGCGCCUGGGACGACACUCCAAGGGCUGAUAUACUGAGCGGCCGGCUGAUCACCGGUUCGCGACGAUGACCCUCUGGAGUUCCGAGGCGCAGGACGGAGAUAUCAGCCGAUCGGGGGUUCAAAUCCCUCCGACCCCA
Transfer RNA from Haloarcula marismortui ATCC 43049, 181 nucleotides. It matches the Rfam family "tRNA". From Rfam's summary of the family: Transfer RNA (tRNA) molecules are approximately 80 nucleotides in length. Their secondary structure includes four short double-helical elements and three loops (D, anti-codon, and T loops). NCBI's taxonomy places the organism in Archaea, Methanobacteriati, Methanobacteriota, Halobacteria, Halobacteriales, Haloarculaceae. The record is from Rfam.